RNAcentral lists this long non-coding RNA (1729 nucleotides) under Homo sapiens (human). Its description in RNAcentral is "HSALNT0306850". Lineage: Eukaryota; Metazoa; Chordata; Mammalia; Primates; Hominidae. The record is from RNAcentral.
UUCUUUACAAUUACUUCAGGUCCGAUGAAUCACCUAAUAUGAGAGCAAUUUUGGCCUGACAUGGGGAACUCCAGAGCUCCCUGUUGAGUUGGACAAGGCUUUGUCAGGCCUACUUCACAGUUCGGUUUCUUCUUCUUCUCAAUACCACUUCCCUCUGCCCUUGCCUUUAAUAGGAAUUGAUCCCUAACAGACAUCUUGCACCCCAAAUUCCAUCUCAAUGCUGACUUCCAGAGAACCCAGUCUAUGAAAGUUGGCCCUGGGAGUGGUCUCAAAAAUGAGCAGUAAGGUGAAACUAUGGAGCAUGAAAUGACAAUGAAGAUUCCAUCAGUGAUGGAAACCCAUAUGUUGAAAUAAAGAAGACAAUCCCCACUCCACUUGCUAUUUUUGGCAGUUCAGCAUCCAAAUACCCUUCCUAUAUUGGGGAAAUCCCAAGAUUGCAUUGUUUUUUAUUUGUGGUUGUGGAGCCGGAUACAGUGAAAUGACAAACUGUAGGAAAGUUGAGAAUAUUGACCAGAGAGUAAUUGAAUUUAUGUACCCUGGUGUCUAUGCUGGAUAAUAACACAACUAGAAGGGUGCUGUUACUUUGAAAGGAGAUGGAGCUUCAAGGACUCAAAGUAUCAGUAUGUGCCAAAAAAAAAAGUAUAAUGUGUACAGAUGUGUAAGAACUAGUCUGAUUUUUUUAAGUUAGUAAAAAAAUAAAAUUUGAAGAUUAAAAUUUCAAAUCUGGGCAGGUCAAAUUUCAGGUAUGGCCAAAGGAAAUGUUUUUUUGUUUGGAGGGCAGAUGAACAUCACUGAAGUUGAGAAUGUUUGAAUGGGUCUUUGAAACUGAAGUUUCCAGGAUCACGACAAGAUUUGGAAUACAGAGAAGACUCUUGAGCCCAGUGACAAAAUCAUGAAUUGUGUGUGAGGAGGAAAAUCAGGACUGUAACCAUUUUCUCUUUCUCUUCAGUGUUCCUGCCUUGGCCCAUGAAAUGAAGCCUCUAGCUUCUCAGAAGUAUUGGGGAAUAAGAUUCUGUCAUUACACCACCUCUCCUUAAUGUUUUUCUGGAAAUAUGAUAGGAGACUUAUAUCCUAUGGUGCCUACUUCUCUUCUGAAUAUGACUAAUGUACAGCAUGUACAUAGCACAGAAACUAUUUGGCUCUCUACUUCAGAAUAACCUGCCCAGUGGGGUGUUCUUUUCUCUGAUCCUCCCUCAUCACUGAUCAGCCUAUUGAGCGAUGCCCUGCCAUUCUUGAAGUGAAAGUCCUGCCCAGCUGAAUCUCAAAGUAUCAAUAAGAAAGAAUAUCCUGGAAGGACAAGAGUGGGGAAAAGUAUACCAGGCAGAAGAUAUUGUGGUUACAAAAGUACAAACGCAUAAGAAAAUGGGUUGUAUGUGGAAUCCCAGAUAGAAUAUCUUAACACAGGGUGCAUUUAAGAAGGUGGCAAGAGAUGUUAGUGGAAUGAUGGGGACAUUAUCUACCAUGCUAAAAAUGUUGGACUUUAUCUUGACAGAACAAAAGUCUUACAGAUUUUUAGCUGAUACAUCAACAACCCAUAGGAGGAAACCAUUUUCCCUCCUUCUAUUCAGGAGUUUGCUACUAAUACUCAAGUUACCUCCAAAAGCUGUAUACCCCGAGAGUGAACAUAUGUAAGAUUUUUAAAAACUAACAAUGUGCUUAAUGUAAUCCAAACAACUCAAGAAAAAGAUUAAGAAGCUACCAAUGAAAGAGAAAUGCUAAAAAAAAAAAA